RNAcentral lists this non-coding RNA (262 nucleotides) under Amborella trichopoda. RNAcentral's name for it is "Bacterial large subunit ribosomal RNA". It matches the Rfam family "Bacterial large subunit ribosomal RNA", at positions 629 to 852 of the family's 2925-position model. Lineage: Eukaryota; Viridiplantae; Streptophyta; Magnoliopsida; Amborellales; Amborellaceae. The record is from Rfam by way of RNAcentral.
CAUAGGCAGUGGCUUGGUUAAGGGAACCCACCGAAGCCGUAGCGAAAACGAGUCUUCAUAGGGCAAUUGUCACUGCUUAUGGACCUGAACCUGGGUGAUCUAUCCAUGACUAGGAUGAAGCUUGGGUGAAACUAAGUGGAGGUGGGUGAAACUAAGUGGAGGUGGGUGAAACUAAGUGGAGGUCCGAACCGACUGAUGUUGAAGAAUCAGCGGAUGAGUUGUGGUUAGGGGUGAAAUGCCACUCGAACCCAGAGCUAGCUGG